AAUGAAGUCUCAAUUGAGAACAUUAAUCUGUGCCUGGGAAACUGUCCCUAAAAGUCCCCUCACACCAUUAUUUUUGUCCAAGCCUUGGGUCAGCCAGCUAAACUCUUAAGUGCCCUCUUGGUUAAUGUUCAGUGUUGGAACUGGCCAGUAGUGUCCUCUGCACAGAGCAAUGGGAUACUUGAUGGGACAAAGGUGUAGGGGCAGGCAGAGUAGCCCUCUGUACCUUUUAAACUAAAGACAAGCCAACUGAUUUCUACAUUUUAUUUAGUGAAGAGAAAAAAAACAUGUCCAGGUGAGAGGUAACUACUACUUCGUCAUUGCAUCGGUCUCACUCAUGCAGUUUUGAGUUGAGAGAACCAGCUUGAAGCUGUUACCCGUAGGUGGUGUCGUGAACACUGCAGUGAUAUGGAGGGCAGGGGUUUUGACACAGGUUGGCAGCAGAGGCCGAAGUCUUUUCCACUAUACAACCCCGUGGACGAUACGCCACCUGGCUGACUUCAACUCACCCAACCUGGGACGGUUGACCUUCAGGGCCUCCUGGACUCAGAGCAGCGUAGGAGAGAUCUGGAAGUCAGUCUGGCUCAGGUCUAAAGUGCCCUACAGAAACAGGCUCAGACUGCUCCAGAGAAUGGUCCAAGGGAGCCGACAUGCACUACCCCAGAUACUUGUUUUGAAUCUUCGGCAGAUCAAACGACCAGUAAAACUCCAUCCCAGACUGUUAUCAGGGAAUGUCUACAUCCCACCAUGUGGUGACCUUUACAGAAGAGUGGGCAGGUUAGAGUUGGACUUGGAGAUCAUUAGCGCCCAACUGGACCAGGUUUUCUGUUCUGGGGGAAAGUGUCUCCACAGGAAUGGACCAUUCCAGCUUGACUCAUGAGCGAGACAACCUUGAGCAUCUGCUGGAGGAGUCUAGGGCCUAGCAGGGGCUGGUGGAGCAGGGAAGGGAUGCCUCAGAGGCCUGUAUGGAAGCCCUCCACUCCCAGCUGUAUUAGGAACGCUUCAGCCUCCAGGAGACCCACAGAGAGAGACUGGCCACACAGGCAGAGCAACAUGGUAGCAAGCAGGUGGAGCCAUGGGAGACCAAACCAACUAAACUGGUACAGGGAUUCACACCCAAAAUGGAUGCAGGUGGUCCCUUCUACACUUCGUAUUUGUACAGAAGCAUGUAAUCUUGCCAGACGUCUCAGUAGUAUCUAACCCAGGCCUCACCUGUUAAGGCUAACAGAAAACUGAAAGUGGUUGUGAACCAGUAGAAGUCAGGUUUUACCAAUCAUCACACCAGUUGUGAGUAGUCACACAACAGUUGUUUCUAUAAUGAUAAUGCCACAGUAAAGACAUUUACUAUUUUGUGUAACACCGCUUUAUUGGCUGAUGAUCUGCAGAUGAAUGAGUCCCUGUAAAGGGAGGUGAUCUCUCAGACAGAGGCUGGGGUCUGCAGAGGAGUGACCUCCCUGAUGGAGAGUGACAGACGCCUGCUCAGGGUUCUCCUAGCGGCACCGGAGACUGAGCGGGAGGAGCUGCUUCAACAAGGACACCCCUCAGCCCUUGGGCUGGGUAGAAUGUUCUCCGUAUUGCUGCCUUACGCCUAUCCAAACCUUAUGGUCUUCAUACGUGCAAAGAGAGUAUGGGUGGAUUUGGGAUGGAAUCAGUAUCUCUACCUUUAUCUUGAGGUAAUGGAGAAUUUUCUUUUCUCAUUGUUUUCACUCUUUGCAUCGUCAGAGUGCUGAUAGCUCCAGAACACGAAGAAACAGUCAGACUUCUAACGGAGGAACAAAAAACAGUGGUUUGUCAGUCCAAUUUGAAAUGGUCAGACUUAUAAAGGACAAGCCAGAAGCAUAGUUUUGUCAGUCCACAUCUUUUUGUCUCAGGAGCACUUGGGAAACGAAUGUGGAAAUCUCUGGAAAGGAGGAGAGGGUGAGGGAGGAGAGUGCCGUGUAUGAAAUGGAGGAACAAGAUGAGGAAGAGAGAGCGGAAGGGAAUAAUGUGUCUGUUAUUCAUCUGCAGUCAAAAUUCAGUGAGGACUUAAGAUCCAUGAGGUGACCCACUCUAAGCCUGGCACACAAACAAAUAAAGGAAGAGAACCAGGUAACUGCCUCUUUGGGAGUCCUUUCCUACAGCACCAUGUCACGUUGAAGCAGUCUAACAUGUGGCAGAGUGAUGUUUCCUUUCAAACAUACCUCUCCUCCAAACCCCACUUCAGCAGUUCCCAAACUUUCAUUUCAUAUAUAAAAAUGUUAUAUAACAAACUUUUAAAAAUAUUUUUUACCUGGGAUAUUAUUAAGCCAUGGUAUUUAUUAUACUUCAUGUUAAAAUAUCACUUUAGUAAAGUUCAUGCAACCUGAGAACCAUUUUUAAGCUAAGAUGCUACUUUUUGCAGUUUACUGUGCUACAUGCUUCACCAUCCAGUAUCAUGCCAACACAUGCUGAAUAGACAAGCUAUAGACAUACUUAUGAGUUAUGUGUAUUGUGGAUUUCUGAGGAUUCACUGGCUUAGAAUACUGCUGAUCAAAGAUAAUUCUAGACAGUCUCUGCCUCUGGUCUGUGAGGGGAAAGAGGGGAAUCUGGAGAGUCCAUUCUUUAACAGCUGUGCUCAAAUCUGGCUAUGUAUACAUUGUAACAACCUUAUGUAACAGCAAGCUUGUUACAGCCACAAAGCCCAUGACCAAUGUCCAUUUAUUCAUGUAACACCCCAUUACACUGGUUGACACAGUGCCAUUGUCUUAGUCUGAGGACUCUGACAUGUUCUUGUUUAUUGUUGAGGCUGGUGAGGAGUUUUGAUUUCUGGCUUAAGCUAAUACUAAUCCCUCUCUGAGACUAUUUUCUUUGGCCCUGAGCUUGUGGUCCACGGUGCACUGCCUUUUACUGCCCUGGUCCCCGAGGACACAUAAACAUGGAUUCAUGGGAUAUGCAGACUGGGAAGACAUGGUUGGAAUACCGCAGGGCUAGACACUUUCUCUCACCGAUAUGACACUGUCAUUAUGAAAGGACCAAUCAGAUAACAGGGUUAUGACAAUGUCAUUAUGAAAGGACCAGUCAGAGCUGGGUGAUAAUGAUGUCAUUAUGAAGGACUAGUCAGAGAGAAGGGUUAAGACAGAACUACGUUCAGGAUGUAAAGAAAGCACUCUUAGAUAGCAGUAUUUUUCAAAGAAAAAGAUGUAAAGACGGUUAUUUUGUAUUUUCGCUUUAUUAUCAUAAUAAUAUAUGCCAGUUAGCAGUUGCUUUUAUCCAAAAUGACUUAGUCAUGCGUGUAUACAUUUUAGGUCUGGGUGGUCCUGGGAAUCAAACCCACUAUCCUUAUGUUGCAUGCACCAUGCUCUACCAACUGAGCUACUUCAUAUUUUCCUCUGUUCUUUUCACUUCCAAGUACACUGCUUACUCAGGAAUAGGUGUUACAUAAUGUUAUUACAUUCAUACUGACCAAUCCUGGCACUUAUUCUUGGAGCAUACUGGACUAAUUUCCCCCUACAGUUCAGCUGUGCUUGCACUAAUUUUAUUUGUUGCAACUGAGAGGUAUGUGCCCUAAACCAUGUACUUAUGGCUGUCUGGCUGAUGCAACGUUACAUGACUCCACACUGGCACAGACCGCACAGACAAUCCUUCUUGAUUGAGGAAGCUGGAAACUUCCUACUCACUUACUCACACUCUCUCUUUUUUCUUCCAUCUUUUUCUCUGUUACAUUCUCUCGCUCUCUCUCAUUGUGAGGAAAUGGGAUGAUGACCCUGUCAUGAGAUUUUCCGUUGACGUCAUCACAGUCCAAGAUUUCUCUGUGUUCUCAGUGUAUGCUUGUCCCUGUUGCUUUUUAACGGCCCCAUGUCUGCUAAGUUCAACUGAGAUACAAACUGCAGACUUUGGCAAGUCAUCACAACGUCAAACUAGAACCUGCAGGAGCCCUAGCGCAAAUCUUCAUUUUGAUAACCCAAGAGUUACACCAGCAGAUGAUAGCGCUGGUCAUAGAGCUGCAGAAGCUGAGAAGGGUCUGUAAAGAGACAUCCACACAACCUGUCUCCCCCCCAGGACCAGGGAGUGGCUGGAAAGAGCUGCUUUGCUUAAGCUAGGGCUGCCAACCCAACCCUCCUGGUUUGGCUGACUCUCCCAGAGGCUUAGGCUUUCUCUCUCAACAAGCAGUUAAGCAAUUGUUUUGAUAAUUGAAUCAAUGCAUGAAAUAUAAACAAAGUUCUGUGUAGUAAUUAUUGUUUAUGCUUCUACAGUUGGCAUGGCCAAUACGUGCUACUAUAUCAGUGGUUCCAGUUAUCAUGCCAAAACCCAUGAUUUAGUUUGAAAGUCUCUGUAUAGGACUGUGUGGGAGAACUGGAGGGAAUAGGGAGAGACUGGAUGUCCUGGAGCGCCAGUGGACUUCUUUGGAUGGUACCUCCAGGAUCAUUGACAAAAUACGGGAAGUGUUUUCCUACAUACAGUCAUCAACCGAGUCUGACUUCUUGCCAGAAGAUGACAGCUAGCAAAGGUAACUGAAAGUGGUGACCACUUGUGGACUGGUUUGAACAGGUCCUUUUAGCUCAGUAGUCACAGAGGAGAGGAGACAACCACACCAAUGCCUCCUUGCCUUCAAAUGAUUGAGACGAACCCCACUAAUUCAGACAGUUCUCGAACAUCCUUCUCCGGAGCAGAGUGGUCCCCUAGCCUAGAUGGAUCCAUCGGCCACCCUUCUGAAGAGCGUCUGUCGCUGCUGCGCUGUCAUGUUCUCACAGCUCUCCAGCAGGUUGGCCACAAUGAGGGUCUGCUGGAUGGUCUUGGACUUGACCCACACCCGCCCGUUCAUCCCCACCACAAUCUCAAAGGGGAACAUCUUCUCCAGGUCCUUGGCUAUCUCACUCUGGGGUGCCAGCAGCCUGGAUAGAGAGAGGACAAUUACUAUUCAGAACCGGGGUCGUGUUGAGUGGUGCAACAUUACAGAAUGUUUAGAUAGAUUUGUAAAAUGUAGAUCAUAUGCUGAAUGUUAACUGUGAGGCUGUUUUGAAUAACACUUUCUAAAUGACCAUAGACUAGUUUUAUUAUUGUGACAUACCUGCGUACAAGUCCCAGGGACACCUUGAAGAGAAGCCCGCCUGCUCCAAACACCCCCAUCCCGUUGGCUCGUCCACAGCUGUCUAUACACACCAGCUCCGGCUCCAUGUCUUUGUUGGCAAUGAUGAACUGAGAGUACACCAGGUCCCCUACCUGCAAUGGCACCACAGAAACAAAAUUGAGAAAGACUAGUGCCAUCAAACUUUAAAUUGAAAGACGACGUUUAGAGGAGUAGUUCACUAUUUUACAACUUGAUGUUAGAUGGUUCCUCACCCUGAAAGUAGUCUAUGGGCCAGGAGAAACUGUAAUCCAUGUUUCAGUUCUUUAAAAACCGCCACUACAAACUUCAGCCACCACAAGCUAACCAUCAAUGGAAGUGAAGGGGGUAUGUGAGCAUGUUUUAUUUCUUGAAAAAUCACCAUUAAGUAACAUCAAACCAAAUAUGGAGUUGAUUUGAAUUGAUUUCAGGUGAAUUUGACUUUUUUUAACAUGCUCACAUGCCUCCAAUUGAUUGUUAGCUGAAGUUUGUAGUGGCUGUUUAAAGAAAAGCCCUGGAUUACCUUUUCUUU
Long non-coding RNA from Salvelinus namaycush (lake trout), 5591 nucleotides. RefSeq lists it as uncharacterized. The transcript has 9 exons. The record is from RefSeq and is a predicted model, not a curated record. NCBI's taxonomy places the organism in Eukaryota, Metazoa, Chordata, Actinopteri, Salmoniformes, Salmonidae.